CAGCAGCCACGGGAAUACAGAGGGUGCAAGCGUUAAUCGGAACUACUGGGCGUAAAGCGCGCGUAGGUGGUUUGUUAAGUUGGAUGUGAAAUCCCCGGGCUCAACCUGGGAACUGCAUCCAAAACUGGCAAGCUAGAGUAUGGUAGAGGGUGGUGGAAUUUUCUGUGUAGCGGUGAAAUGCGUAGAUAUAGGAAGGAACACCAGUGGCGAAGGCGACCACCUGGACUGAUACUGACACUGAGGUGCGAAAGCGUGGGGAGCAAACAGGAUUAGAUACCCGGGUAGUCCCUGUCUCUUAUAC
RNAcentral lists this ribosomal RNA (301 nucleotides) under uncultured bacterium. Its description in RNAcentral is "partial 16S ribosomal RNA". It matches the Rfam family "Bacterial small subunit ribosomal RNA", at positions 509 to 807 of the family's 1533-position model. The record is from RNAcentral.